Molecule: long non-coding RNA, 833 nt
Filed under: Manihot esculenta (cassava)
Lineage: Eukaryota; Viridiplantae; Streptophyta; Magnoliopsida; Malpighiales; Euphorbiaceae
Description: long non-coding RNA (MESC_LNC010009)
Source: RNAcentral
UUCAAUAGAAUAUGUGUGCACAUGGGUAAAUGCAAAAAACAAAUGGUACUAUCCUAAGCACAGUUCAGCAAUAGUACCUGUUAUGCGCACUGUGCUAAGAAAGUAGACCGCUUUUAAGCAUAAUUCAAUAUAAAGACACAAGAUCAUAAGGCGAAACAUAAAUCCACUGUUCAAGUUGUUGCUAGAAAAACUAAUAUUGAUCUGGUUCAUUAUCAGGUAUAUAUUUCCUUCCAUUCAUUGCAGUUAAACCGCUGUCUUCUUUCUCCAAUUAGUUCUGCUCAGUCAUAACUUAUUUGUAAUUUCAAUAAAGUAAUUUGUCAAGGAUCAACCUUAACAGAUAAUAAACUCGAAGGAGGGGGGAGAUUAUGAGAGAAGAGAGAGAAAGAGAGAGAGACUUUAGAGGAGAAUAGAGAAGAGAAGUAUAGAAGAGGGAAGAGAGAAUUGAUUAUGCUCAUGAAUCUUCUUGAUAACAACCGAGUCUCUUUACAGGCAUUUAUACACACUGAGCUAAUAGGUUUCAACAGAACAGUUAUUGGUAGUUAUAACAGAAGAACUUCUUUUCCCACCUUUUCCAGCUAAGAGAUUACUUCUUUCCAGAACCCUUUUCUCUUCUUCCGGAAGUAUGUGACAUAAUUUUUUUCGGGUCUAGAGCAAUAUGUGGGCUCUUUUAUUCCAGUAGUUCUAACAAGAUCUCAAAUCAAAGAAUCUUGCAAACUCAUUAGAAUCUGCAUCUGUUCUUCUAUCCAAAUUACUCAUUACUUUUAUUUGUGUCCCUCAAAGGACAUGAUUGAUUCUAUCAUCCUUACUGUAUGAACGCCUUAGUGAAAAAUACU